UACGUAGGGUGUGAGCGUUGUCCGGAAUUAUUGGGCGUAAAGAGCUCGUAGGCGGUGUGUCACGUCGGCCGUGAAAACCUGCAGCUUAACUGUGGGCGUGCGGUCGAUACGGGCAUCACUGGAGUUCGGCAGGGGAGACUGGAAUUCCUGGUGUAGCGGUGAAAUGCGCAGAUAUCAGGAGGAACACCGGUGGCGAAGGCGGGUCUCUGGGCCGAUACUGACGCUGAGGAGCGAAAGCGUGGGGAGCAAACAGG
This 254-nucleotide ribosomal RNA is filed under the name uncultured bacterium. Its description in RNAcentral is "partial 16S ribosomal RNA". It matches the Rfam family "Bacterial small subunit ribosomal RNA", at positions 524 to 776 of the family's 1533-position model. The record is from RNAcentral.